This 403-nucleotide ribosomal RNA is filed under the name uncultured bacterium. RNAcentral's name for it is "partial 16S ribosomal RNA". It matches the Rfam family "Bacterial small subunit ribosomal RNA", at positions 30 to 526 of the family's 1533-position model. The record is from RNAcentral.
AUUGAACGCUGGCGGCAGGCCUAACACAUGCAAGUCGAGCGAGAGGCGGACGGGGGUGUAAUGUAUGGGGACUGCCCGAUAGAGGGGGAUAACUACGGGAAACGGUAGCUAAUACCGCAUACUAUCGGAUAACCCAUAUGUGAUUAGCUAGUAGGUGAGGUAAUGGCUCACCUAGGCGACGAUCCCUCGCUGGUCUGAGAGGAUGAUAAGCAACACUGGGACUGAGACACGGCCCAGAAUCCUACGGAGGCAGCAUUGGGGAAUAGUGCACAAUGGGCGCAAGCCUGAGGCAGCCAUGCCGCGUGUAUGAAGAAGGCCCUAGGGUUGUAAAGUACUUUCAUUCGGGAGGCGUUACCGACAGAAGAAGCACCGGCUAACUCCGUGCCAGCCGCCGCGGUAAUAC